UCUGUCCCAGCAGGUAUUAAUCUCUGGAGAAGACACAUCCACAGUUAGCACUUUCUUCAGAUGCUGACGCUCGGUGAGCAGUUGCCCUUGGUCACAAGAUUUAGAAGACACAGUGUCCAUCCUCCCAGAUUGGAUCUGUUUUUCAUAUGGAUCUUCUGUUUCUAUGUCUUUUUUAAAAAUAACUUUUUGGGAAACCUUUUGGAUUACAACUGUUCAUCCUCACCUAUGCAAAGAAAGGGAAGCUAUUGCUGGGAUUUUGAGGAGCUUUUCCUAAAAGGAUUGUACACCUUAGAAGUGCUUGAGGAAGAGUGAUGAAGAUAGGCAUGAAGCCUUCGUCUCACAGCUGCAUGCGUAGUCACUGUUGAAGCAAAUGCCUAGUCACUGUUGAAGCAAAUGCCUACCUAAUUUGACACUCUUGGUGUGUUUAAAAAAUUUUUUUGAGUUUGCAAAUAAGCAUAUUAAGUCUACUGAUGGAGCCUUCGGGCAGUGAACAGUUAUUUGAGGACCCUGAUCCUGGAGGCAAAUCCCAAGAUGCAGAGGCCAGAAAGCAGACAGAAUCAGAACAGAAAUUGUCUAAAAUGACCCACAAUGCUUUGGAGAACAUUAACGUGAUUGGCCAAGGCUUGAAGCAUCUCUUCCAGCACCAGCGCAGGAGGUCAUCAGUGUCUCCACAUGAUGUGCAGCAAAUUCAGGCAGAUCCAGAACCUGAAAUGGAUCUGGAAAACCAGAACGCAUGUGCUGAGAUUGAUGGUGUCCCCACCCACCCCACAGCUCUGAAUCGUGUCCUGCAGCAGAUUCGAGUGCCACCCAAGAUGAAGAGAGGGACAAGCUUGCAUAGUAGGCGGGGCAAGCCAGAGGCCCCAAAGGGAAGUCCCCAAAUCAACAGGAAGUCUGGUCAGGAGAUGACAGCUGUUAUGCAGUCAGGCCGACCCAGGUCUUCAUCCACAACUGAUGCCCCUACCAGCUCUGCUAUGAUGGAAAUAGCUUGUGCUGCUGCUGCUGCUGCUGCUGCAUGUCUACCGGGAGAGGAGGGAACUGCGGAGCGGGUAAGUUUGUUAGAUUUUGUUUUUCUGUUAACUUACUGUUUUUUCGUACCUAGGACUCUCCAGACUUUCCUUUGGUAACUAAAAAGAUAUCUCAGCAAAUACCUUAAAGUUAUGGUAAAAGCAUUUUUUUCCCAUUUCAAAUGGGCAAAUAAUAAUUAUAGCUAAUGAAUGAAUGCUUAGAAUUAUAUUCCUAUUUCCUUCCUAACAUAUUGCUGUAUUUUAUCCUUUCGUUAAAACCUUAAGUAUAUUUCAUGUAUUCUUGCUGUGUAUUUAUUUAAGAGGGUCAGUUUUAUGGUGGAGGAAUAAAGAUGCUUUAUUUCUUAUUGUUUUGAUUUUGCACAUGGAAAUGGCUUUCUUACAUUAAUGAAUGUAGUGAAUAAAGUUCUAG
Mandrillus leucophaeus (drill) is the source of this 1434-nucleotide RNA transcript. It is a transcript of the gene named transmembrane and coiled-coil domains protein 1 pseudogene, with no coding region annotated. The transcript has 3 exons. The record is from RefSeq and is a predicted model, not a curated record. NCBI's taxonomy places the organism in Eukaryota, Metazoa, Chordata, Mammalia, Primates, Cercopithecidae.